UCGUACAGGUUUCCGUAGGUGAACCUGCGGAAGGAUCAUUA
RNAcentral lists this ribosomal RNA (41 nucleotides) under Nephroma resupinatum. RNAcentral's name for it is "partial small subunit ribosomal RNA". Lineage: Eukaryota; Fungi; Ascomycota; Lecanoromycetes; Peltigerales; Nephromataceae. RNAcentral also lists the same sequence under 1 other name. The record is from RNAcentral.